AAGGGCACCACAAGAACGCGUGGAGCAUGUGGCUUAAUUUGACUCAACGCGGGAAAUCUUACCGGGUCCGGACACACUGAGGAUUGACAGGUGUUUCGUUUUGAUGCAGUACUUAUAUCAAUGCUUUUUGUUGCUUUGGCAGCGGUUUAAUUAUCGUUGUUUUUGUAGUGGGGAGUACAUAUGUGCCGUAUUACAAAACAUUUCAAAUAUGCUAGUCCUUUCAUGAUUGUGUGAUAGGUGGUGCAUGGCCGUUCUUAGUUCGUGGAGUGAUCUGUCUGCUUAAUUGCGUUUCACUAUGGCACGCAUGUGUUUUAUACUAAUACUGUGACCUCAUUGUUUUUUUACAAAGCAGUGACUGCGUCCGGUAUGGUAUGCGCUGUGAUGCCUCGAAGGCAACGAACGUGACCGCAGCCUCUUGUUGCCUCCCUUGUGCAUGCUGCAUUGUGUUUUGUGGUAGUGUUUUCAUUUUUAAUGAAUUCGCCAUGUUACGCUUUCAGUUUUGCCACAGUUUUUUCAACUGUAUGUAUUAUCUUAUGCCUGUNUGGUGUUUUAGAGUUGCACUAUGCGUAUGUGGUUGCUACAAAUGGUGAUCGUGUGCGUUUGUGUGACAUCUUGGCGCUGCUUUUAGGGUAUAUUGCAUGUGCGUACAAAGAAUUUAUCUGCAGUGGAGGGAAACUAGAGGGACCGCUGACUUUCUUUAAACCAGAGGAAGGUUGCGGCAAUAACAGGUCUGUGAUGCCCUUAGAUGUUCCGGGCUGCACACGUGCUACAAUGAUUAUUGCAGUGAGCAUCUUACCCAGUUCGUGUGCACAGUUUCAGUUACACUGAUACUUUAAAGGGUAUUGGUUGUGUGUUGAAGGUUUUGCCUUUAUACGCAUGGCUUUUACCUGUUGGUGUUAGCUGGCUGAUGCAUUUUUACGACUAGGCUACUUCGAAAGUAAGUAGCUAAUCAAUUCGAAGUAAUGAUUUCCUUUGCAUAUNUUAUAUAUGUCCUGUAUUUUAAGGCUGUUUUCUCUUUUAGAGAUUACAAUUUACCUCUAUUAUACGGUGGCAUGUGCUCCAUUAAUUCGUGGUGGGGACAGACCAUUGUUAAUUGUUGGUCUCGUUUUCAACUAGGAGUGCCUUGUACGGGUCUUUGGUUCAACAGACCACCCGGAAUAUGUCCCUGCCCUUUGUACACACCGCCCGUCGCUCUUACCGAUGGACUUCACUGUGAGUUUGAGGGACUGGAAACCCUUUCUAUGGAAACUUAAACGAACAGUGUGGUCUAAAGGAAAGAGAAGUCGUAACAAGGCAUCGGUAGGUGAACCU
Molecule: ribosomal RNA, 1311 nt
Filed under: Notodendrodes antarctikos
Lineage: Eukaryota; Foraminifera
Description: bacterial SSU rRNA
Rfam family: Eukaryotic small subunit ribosomal RNA
Source: RNAcentral